GACAGAGGGGGCAAGCGUUGCUCGGAAUCACUGGGCGUAAAGGGCGCGUAGGCGGGACGCCAAGUCGGUCGUGAAAUCUCCGGGCUCAACCCGGAGGAGUCGGCCGAAACUGGUGUUCUUGAGGGAGGCAGAGGAGUCUGGAAUUCCCGGUGUAGCGGUGAAAUGCGCAGAUAUCGGGAGGAACACCUGAGGCGAAGGCGGGCUACUGGGCUGAUACUGACGCUGAGGCGCGAAAGCUAGGGGAGCAAACGGG
RNAcentral lists this ribosomal RNA (253 nucleotides) under uncultured bacterium. RNAcentral's name for it is "partial 16S ribosomal RNA". It matches the Rfam family "Bacterial small subunit ribosomal RNA", at positions 524 to 776 of the family's 1533-position model. The record is from RNAcentral.